AGAGUUUGAUCCUGGCUCAGGAUGAACGCUGGCGGUAUGCCUAACACAUGCAAGUCGAACGGUGUCUUCGGACACAGUGGCGGACGGGUGAGUAACGCGUGAGAAUCUGCCUCUAGGUUGGGGACAACAGUUGGAAACGACUGCUAAUACCCGAUGUGCCGUAAGGUAAAAGAUUUAUUGCCUGGAGAGGAGCUCGCGUCUGAUUAGCUAGUUGGUGGGGUAAAAGCCUACCAAGGCAGCGAUCAGUAGCUGGUCUGAGAGGAUGAGCAGCCACACUGGGACUGAGACACGGCCCAGACUCCUACGGGAGGCAGCAGUGGGGAAUUUUCCGCAAUGGGCGAAAGCCUGACGGAGCAAUACCGCGUGAGGGAGGAAGGCCUUUGGGUUGUAAACCUCUUUUCUCAGGGAAGAAGAACUGACGGUACCUGAGGAAUAAGCAUCAGCUAACUCCGUGCCAGCAGCCGCGGUAAUACGGAGGAUGCAAGCGUUAUCCGGAAUCAUUGGGCGUAAAGCGUCCGCAGGUGGUUUUUCAAGUCUGCUGUUAAAGACUGGAGCUCAACUCCGGAAAGGCAGUGGAAACUGAGAAACUAGAGUUCGGUAGGGGUAGCGGGAAUUCCCAGUGUAGCGGUGAAAUGCGUAGAUAUUGGGAAGAACAUCGGUGGCGAAGGCGCGCUACUGGACCGAAACUGACACUCAGGGACGAAAGCUAGGGGAGCGAAAGGGAUUAGAUACCCCUGUAGUCCUAGCUGUAAACGAUGGAAACUAGGUGUGGCUUGUAUCGACCCGAGCCGUGCCGUAGCUAACGCGUUAAGUUUCCCGCCUGGGGAGUACGCACGCAAGUGUGAAACUCAAAGGAAUUGACGGGGGCCCGCACAAGCGGUGGAGUAUGUGGUUUAAUUCGAUGCAACGCGAAGAACCUUACCUGGGUUUGACAUGUACCGGACCGCCGGUGAAAGCCGGUUUCUCUUAGUAGCUGGUACACAGGUGCUGCAUGGCUGUCGUCAGCUCGUGCCGUGAGGUGUUCGGUUAAGUCCGGCAACGAGCGCAACCCGUGUCGUCAGUUGCCAUCACGUAAUGGUGGGCACUCUGGCGAGACUGCCCGUGUCAAGCGGGAGGAAGGCGCGGAUGACGUCAAGUCCGUAUGGCUCUUACAUCCAGGGCUGCACACGUGCUACAAUGGCCGGUACAAUGGGACGCGAAACCGCGAGGUGGAGCCAAUCCCCAAAACCGGUCCCAGUUCGGAUUGGAGUCUGCAACUCGACUCCAUGAAGCCGGAAUCGCUAGUAAAGGGGUAUCAGCAACGGCCCCUUGAAUACGUUCCCGGGCCUUGUACACACCGCCCGUCACAUCAUGGAAGCCGGCUGCACCCGAAGUCGCUGACCC
RNAcentral lists this ribosomal RNA (1383 nucleotides) under metagenome. RNAcentral's name for it is "bacterial SSU rRNA". It matches the Rfam family "Bacterial small subunit ribosomal RNA". The record is from RNAcentral.